This 1223-nucleotide long non-coding RNA is filed under the name Sparus aurata (gilthead seabream). Its description in RNAcentral is "lncRNA (ENSSAUG00010001676.1)". The record is from RNAcentral. Lineage: Eukaryota; Metazoa; Chordata; Actinopteri; Spariformes; Sparidae.
UAUAUAUGUUUUGAACAUUACAAGUGCUAAUUUUUAAUGUAAUAUAAAAAAAAAAGGCACCUGAUGACAUAAUCUAUUCAAGUCACAAUGUUCUACCGAAAAAAUCAAGAUCCUAAGCUUUCGCUCCAUACGGAAAUCUAAGUUGACCAGGCAGUUAUUCAUCUUUUCUAAAGCCUUAAAAUAUUGGCAUCUGGUCUGGAGGCUGUACACCCAGAGUUUUUAAAAGCUUAGCUCAAAGGUCUGCUAUGAAUGAAUAGUGCUAAUAGAGGGCUGUUCAAUUGAUAGUAUUAAAACUUGAAAUAAUCUCAAUUACUAUUAUCCUUUUUAUAUUGUUAUUUCAGCUGGAAUCAAGAGACCUGUCACCCAGGAGGACAAGGAAUGGGCACUGGCAUCCUUGUCACAACUUGGGCGUUUUACUGGGAUGGGGUGGAUUUUGAGUCCAGAAACGCCUCAGGCAUGUGAUUGGGGAAUCCUCCAUGAGCAAAGGGCAAAUCAGCAAUAUACAGAACGCACUGGUGUCAUUAUCCAGGAGAGGGGAGUGUUCCUGUCUGACAGUGGCCUACUCGGUGGAUCUCCAGAUGGGACAGUAUCUGAUGACUGCAUCAUUGAGAAAAUCCUCUCGGUCCCUGCCUCCAGCAGCUGGAAGCGCCUCGCCUGCGACCUCGCUCGAGGGUCGGAGGGCGAUGUGCCGCAGAAACACCGUUGGAGCUGCAGAGGCGGGUAGCUGAUGUCUGACACACCGCUCUUUUGGAGACUGUCAACUCCCAGUGAGCCCGUCUCACCCUGGCCGCUGCACCGUGCACCCGCAGGUGACACUCUCCUCCGGGGAGAUGGGGGUUCAGUGUCAAUGUUUAACCCCUCGCGUCUAGCUGCAGGGCGGAGGGACCGCGGUUAUGUCUAAGUUUAUGUCAGACAACAAUGAACCAUGCAGUCAGAGAAACAAUGGCACUUUCUCAGCUUAACUAUGGUUGCACUAUUUAGGGUUCUAAUCCCGAAGGGGUAGAACCGGGUGACAGAGCUCCUCACCCUAUCUCUAAGGGAGCGCCCCGCCAAUUGCGGAGGAAACUCAUUUCGGCCGCUUGUAUCCGGGGUCUUAUUCUUUCGGUCAUGACCCAAAGUUCAUGACCAUAGGUGAGGGUAGGAACGUAGAUUGACCGGUAAAUCGAGAGCUUCGCCUUUUGGCAAAGCGUGUGAAAAACAGUAAAAUGAAUAGAACUUUUGAA